GGAUGUGAGGGCGAUCUGGCUGCGACAUCUGUCACCCCAUUGAUUGCCAGGGUUGAUUCGGCUGAUCUGGCUGGCUAGGUGGGUGUUCCCCUCCUCCCUCACUGAUCCAUGUGCGUCCCUCCCGAAGCUGCACGCUCGGUCAAAGAGGACGACCUUCCCCCACGAGGAGAGGACCGGUCUUCGGUCAAGGGUAUACGAGUAGCUGCGCUCCCCUGCUAGAACCUCCAAACAAGCUCUCAAAAAGAAUGUCUAUUCUGACAUUAUCAUGUGUAAUGUAUAAUUAUCCAGUGGUUCUCAACCUGUGGGUCACAAAU
This 314-nucleotide small nuclear RNA is filed under the name Myotis brandtii (Brandt's bat). RNAcentral's name for it is "7SK RNA". It matches the Rfam family "7SK RNA". Rfam says of the family: 7SK was discovered as an abundant small nuclear RNA in the mid-70s but a possible function has only recently been suggested. The record is from Rfam by way of RNAcentral. Lineage: Eukaryota; Metazoa; Chordata; Mammalia; Chiroptera; Vespertilionidae.